RNAcentral lists this ribosomal RNA (253 nucleotides) under uncultured bacterium. Its description in RNAcentral is "partial 16S ribosomal RNA". It matches the Rfam family "Bacterial small subunit ribosomal RNA", at positions 524 to 776 of the family's 1533-position model. The record is from RNAcentral.
UACGGAGGAUCCGAGCGUUAUCCGGAUUUAUUGGGUUUAAAGGGAGCGUAGGCGGGUUGUUAAGUCAGUUGUGAAAGUUUGCGGCUCAACCGUAAAAUUGCAGUUGAUACUGGCAUCCUUGAGUACAGUAGAGGUAGGCGGAAUUCGUGGUGUAGCGGUGAAAUGCUUAGACAUCACGAAGAACUCCGAUUGCGAAGGCAGCCUGCUGGACUGUAACUGACGCUGAUGCUCGAAAGUGUGGGUAUCAAACAGG